AGCUCAGUUGGUAGAAUGCUUGCCUCGCAUGCAUGAGGCCCUGGGUUCAAUUCCCAG
Molecule: transfer RNA, 57 nt
Filed under: Ictidomys tridecemlineatus (thirteen-lined ground squirrel)
Lineage: Eukaryota; Metazoa; Chordata; Mammalia; Rodentia; Sciuridae
Description: Spermophilus tridecemlineatus (thirteen-lined ground squirrel) tRNA
Rfam family: tRNA
About the family: Transfer RNA (tRNA) molecules are approximately 80 nucleotides in length. Their secondary structure includes four short double-helical elements and three loops (D, anti-codon, and T loops).
Source: Rfam by way of RNAcentral